GUAAAUCAAAUCUUACAUGAGUUGUUCAUGUUGGGGUGAAGUGUAUUCAAUGGGCUAGGUUUCCAUGGCAUUCGUGAGAAUUUGGAGUGUCUCGUGUGGAAACAACCCGACCUCAGCUUGUUGCACCCAUCGACGAAUCGCUUGCACCCACCGGCAGACCCGUUUACAGCACUCACCAUUGCAGAGACGAGCUGAGUCUUGCAUUCUGAAUUUGGGGAUUUAGGAAUCUUUACUUCUUUUGUUCUUUUUGUCUUUUAGUUCAUUGUCUUACCAGAUGGAUUUAUUAGCUGGGCUGGGUCAUUUUGAGGCCUGGUCCCUUUUUCUCUCAUUUUAAUAAAGGGUCUGGCAGCCCAAUUUCGCUUAAAAAAAUUGUUUAUUUCUUUUGUACGAGUAAUCAAAAUAAUAAUAUCUUAAUUCCUCAGUUUUGACUUCAAAAUGCACAAAUCAAAUCAUCAAACAUUUCGGCAUAUUGUAUUGGUGAAUUUUUUUUGUAAAAACCAAUAAGAAAUGGCAUUAACAUAUUUCUAUGUCUCUUUCUAUUGAACAUUAGUUUGAAACAAAAUGUACACCUAGCAGGAAAAUAGAGUUUGAAAAUCAUCAAAUCUAAUUCUUGAUAUGAUUUCUUGAAUUGAUGUAAUUUAAAACUUGUCACUUAAAAUAAAAAAAAUCUUAUCUCUUUUUGUUAUAUCUACUUCAAAAAAUAAAAAUAUUUCUUGCUUUGUAUAGUGAUUUUUCCUAAAUAAUCUAUUUACGUCUCAAUUCAUUAUUAUUUAUUUAUUUUGUUUUGUAAGAAUUUUUUCUAACUAUUUCUUCUUUGUUUUGUAAUAAUGUUGAUUUAUAAAAUUCAUGUACUCUAUAUAUUUUAAUUUUGUAAUAGUUUUAAUUUUGUGUUCAUAUAUUUCUUAUAACUAAAUACUAAAUUGAUAUGUUAUAUUGUUCUCAUUAGUUAUCCCAUUUGAUUUUUUUAAAAUUCAUUAUAUUUGUUUAUUGGAAAAAUAAAUAAAUGCAUGCGUGAUCCAUGAGAUUAAUAUAUAUUGAAACGAAGGACUUAAGGCUGAGAAAAAUCAUCAAACUUUUUUUGUACCUUAAAUUUUUUUAUUUAAUUUAAACAUAAUCAUGUUACUCUAUAGAUAAAGCAGGAUGAGAUAAAAGACUUAUUUAUAAUUAUGCAUUGAUUCAAAUCUCAGUCUAUUAAUUAAAAAGAUCUUAAAAAAAGAAUAUUAUUAUUUCAAGAAUAUAUAAUAUCUUGAUAUGAUUUCUUGAAUCAAUGUAAUUUAAAAAUUGUCACUUAAAAUAAAAAAAAUCUUAUCUCUUUUUUGUUAUAUCUACUUCAAAAAAUAAAAAUAUUUCUUGCUUUGUAUAGUGAUUUUUCCUAAAUAAUCUAUUUACGUCUCAAUUCAUUAUUAUUUAUUUAUUUUGUUUUGUAAGAAUUUUUUCUAACUAUUUCUUCUUUGUUUUGUAAUAAUGUUGAUUUAUAAAAUUCAUGUACUCUAUAUAUUUUAAUUUUGUAAUAGUUUUAAUUUUGUGUUCAUAUAUUUCUUAUAACUAAAUACUAAAUUGAUAUGUUAUAUUGUUCUCAUUAGUUAUCCCAUUUGAUUUUUUUAAAAUUCAUUAUAUUUGUUUAUUGGAAAAAUAAAUAAAUGCAUGCGUGAUCCAUGAGAUUAAUAUAUAUUGAAACGAAGGACUUAAGGCUGAGAAAAAUCAUCAAACUUUUUUUGUACCUUAAAUUUUUUUAUUUAAUUUAAACAUAAUCAUGUUACUCUAUAGAUAAAGCAGGAUGAGAUAAAAGACUUAUUUAUAAUUAUGCAUUGAUUCAAAUCUCAGUCUAUUAAUUAAAAAGAUCUUAAAAAAAGAAUAUUAUUAUUUCAAGAAUAUAUAAUAUCUUGAUAUGAUUUCUUGAAUCGAUGUAAUUUAAAACUUGUCACUUAAAAUAAAAAAAAUCUUAUCUCUUUUUUGUUAUAUCUACUUCAAAAAAUAAAAAUAUUUCUUGCUUUGUAUAGUGAUUUUUCCUAAAUAAUCUAUUUACGUCUCAAUUCAUUAUUAUUUAUUUAUUUUGUUUUGUAAGAAUUUUUUCUAACUAUUUCUUCUUUGUUUUGUAAUAAUGUUGAUUUAUAAAAUUCAUGUACUCUAUAUAUUUUAAUUUUGUAAUAGUUUUAAUUUUGUGUUCAUAUAUUUCUUAUAACUAAAUACUAAAUUGAUAUGUUAUAUUGUUCUCAUCGGGCCGGUUCUCGGACCGGUCGCGGGCCGGGGCGGGCCGACCCGGUCCCCCUGCUACCCCUACUUAAUAUGGAUAAAGCAGGAAUUGCAAACCUAAGAAUCAGGAAAAUGCAAAAUACAAACUACGGCUACAGUGAAAUCAAUCACAAUGCACAGUGAAAGAAAGGAACAAAAUAGCAAUAGAUCAUCAAAAUCGCAAGCACUGAAAAACAUAGGAUCAAAUGCAACGGAUACAGAGCAGCACAAUAGUUAACUAGAGUAAUAAAGGAACGAUUGUGAGCAACAUUAACAAGAAAUACCUGGACUAUGCAGUGGUAUUAGCUAGGUUUCUGGCUCAAUCUGCAGGAAAGGGAAAAUCUUAGAAAUGAAGCUCAAAGAUCGAAUGUAAAGCGUGAUAACAAGAAUACAUGGUGUAAAUCAAAUCUUACAUGAGUUGUUCAUGUUGGGGUGAAGUGUAUUCAAUGGGCUAGGUUUCCAUGGCAUUCGUGAGAAUUUGGAGUGUCUCGUGUGGAAACAACCCGACCUCAGCUUGUUGCACCCAUCGACGAAUCGCUUGCACCCACCGGCAGACCCGUUUACAGCACUCACCAUUGCAGAGACGAGCUGAGUCUUGCA
RNAcentral lists this long non-coding RNA (2832 nucleotides) under Solanum tuberosum (potato). Its description in RNAcentral is "long non-coding RNA (STUB_LNC006376)". Lineage: Eukaryota; Viridiplantae; Streptophyta; Magnoliopsida; Solanales; Solanaceae. The record is from RNAcentral.